RNAcentral lists this long non-coding RNA (520 nucleotides) under Mytilus galloprovincialis (Mediterranean mussel). The record is from RNAcentral. Lineage: Eukaryota; Metazoa; Mollusca; Bivalvia; Mytilida; Mytilidae.
CCCUAUGUUCUAUUUUUAGCAAUGGCGACCAUGUUUGUUGAUAGAUCAUAACUUCGGAUACAAUUUACAAACAAGAUACCCUAAGGAACAUUCAAUUAAAGUUUGGAAGUAUUUGGCCCAGUAGUUUCAGAGGAGAAGAUUUUUGUAAAAGAUUACUAAGAUUUACGAAAAAUGGUUAAAAAUUGACUAUAAAGGGCAAUAACUGCUAAAGGGGUCAACUGACCAUUUCCGUCAUGUUGACUUAUUUGUAAAUCUUACUUUGCUGAACAUUAUUCCUGUUUACAGUUUAUCUCUAUCUAUAAUAAUAUUCAAGAUAAUAACCAAAAACAGCAAAAUUUCUUAAAAUUACCAAUUCAGGGGCAGCAACCCAACAACGGGUUGUCUGAUUCAUCUGAAAAUUUCAGGGCAGAUAGAUCUUGACCUGAUAAACAAUAUUACCCCUGUCAGAUUUGCUCUAAAUGCUUUGGUUUUUGAGUUAUAAGCCAAAAACUGCAUUUGACCCCUAUGUUCUAUUUUUAGC